Molecule: ribosomal RNA, 341 nt
Filed under: uncultured bacterium
Lineage: Bacteria
Description: bacterial SSU rRNA
Rfam family: Bacterial small subunit ribosomal RNA
Source: RNAcentral
GAUGAACGCUGGCGGUAUGCCUAACACAUGCAAGUCGUACGAGAGUUUUUAACUCUAGUGGCGGACGGGUGAGUAACACGUGAGAAUUUGCCUUUAGGAGGGGGAUAACAAUUGGAAACGAAUGCUAAUACCCCAUAUGCUUUUGAGUGAAAUGGAUUUUAUCCCGCCUAGAGAGAAGCUCGCGGCUGAUUAGCUUGUUGGUGGGGUAAAAAGCCCACCAAGGCGACGAUCAGUAGCUGGUCUGAGAGGAUGAUCAGCCACACUGGGACUGAGACACGGCCCAGACUCCUAGGGAGGCAGCAGUGAGGAAUUUUUCCACAAUGGGGCGAAAAGCCUGAUGG